RNAcentral lists this ribosomal RNA (255 nucleotides) under uncultured bacterium. Its description in RNAcentral is "partial 16S ribosomal RNA". It matches the Rfam family "Bacterial small subunit ribosomal RNA", at positions 524 to 776 of the family's 1533-position model. The record is from RNAcentral.
UACGGGGGGUGCGAGCGUUGUCCGGAAUCACUGGGCGUAAAGGGCGCGUAGGUGGCCUGCUAAGCGUGCGGUGAAAGUCGGGGGCUCAACCCCCGAUCGGCCGUGCGAACUGGGAGGCUUGAGCACUGUAGAGGCAGGCGGAAUUCCGGGUGUAGCGGUGGAAUGCGUAGAGAUCCGGAAGAACGCCGGUGGCGAAGGCGGCCUGCUGGGCAGUUUUGCUGACACUGAGGCGCGACAGCGUGGGGAGCAAACAGG